CCAGUAACGGCGAGUGAAGCGGCAAAAGCUCAAAUUUGAAAUCCUGCGGGAAUUGUAAUUUGAAGGUUUCGUGGUCUGAGUCGGCCGCGCCCAAGUCCAUUGGAACAUGGCGCCUGGGAGGGUGAGAGCCCCGUAUGGCGCACGCCGACUCUUUGCACCGCGGCUCCGACGAGUCGAGUUGUUUGGGAAUGCAGCUCUAAGUGGGUGGUAAAUUCCAUCUAAAGCUAAAUAUUGGCGAGAGACCGAUAGCGAACAAGUACAGUGAUGGAAAGAUGAAAAGCACUUUGAAAAGAGAGUGAAACAGCACGUGAAAUUGUUGAAAGGGAAGGGCUUGCAAGCAGACACGGUUUUACCGGGCCAGCGUCGAAAAGGGGGGAGGAACAAGAACUCGAGAAUGUGGCGCGCACCUUCGGGCGCGCGUGUUAUAGCUCGUGUUGACGCCUCCAUCCCUUUUCGAGGCCUGCGAUUCUAGGACGCUGGCGUAAUGGUUGCAAGCCGCCCGUCUUGAAACACGGGAC
Molecule: ribosomal RNA, 518 nt
Filed under: Clavispora lusitaniae
Lineage: Eukaryota; Fungi; Ascomycota; Pichiomycetes; Serinales; Metschnikowiaceae
Description: partial large subunit ribosomal RNA
Rfam family: Eukaryotic large subunit ribosomal RNA
Source: RNAcentral